This 225-nucleotide long non-coding RNA is filed under the name Elaeis guineensis (African oil palm). RNAcentral describes it as "long non-coding RNA (EGUI_LNC053305)". The record is from RNAcentral. Lineage: Eukaryota; Viridiplantae; Streptophyta; Magnoliopsida; Arecales; Arecaceae.
CAAUAGUAGCUAUGCUCUAUAUGAGCUUGGAUCUGAUGCACCCCCGAUGUCCCACCCAUAUAGAAUCAUGGUGCUCUCGCAGCACCUUGCACCUCAACCCUCUACCUGAACGCACAUAGACACAUCACCCCUAUGUCAAAAUCAACCCACCUUCGGUCCAAAAAUGGUGCACCUUGCCAUCCUUGAUGAGUUCACCCAUGGAUGUGGCCCAUGGAUCCUUCGCCA